GGUUAAGCGACUAAGCGUACACGGUGGAUGCCCUGGCAGUCAGAGGCGAUGAAGGACGUGCUAAUCUGCGAUAAGCGUCGGUAAGGUGAUAUGAACCGUUAUAACCGGCGAUUUCCGAAUGGGGAAACCCAGUGUGUUUCGACACACUAUCAUUAACUGAAUCCAUAGGUUAAUGAGGCGAACCGGGGGAACUGAAACAUCUAAGUACCCCGAGGAAAAGAAAUCAACCGAGAUUCCCCCAGUAGCGGCGAGCGAACGGGGAGCAGCCCAGAGCCUGAAUCAGUGUGUGUGUUAGUGGAAGCGUCUGGAAAGGCGCGCGAUACAGGGUGACAGCCCCGUACACAAAAAUGCACAUGCUGUGAGCUCGAUGAGUAGGGCGGGACACGUGGUAUCCUGUCUGAAUAUGGGGGGACCAUCCUCCAAGGCUAAAUACUCCUGACUGACCGAUAGUGAACCAGUACCGUGAGGGAAAGGCGAAAAGAACCCCGGCGAGGGGAGUGAAAAAGAACCUGAAACCGUGUACGUACAAGCAGUGGGAGCACGCUUAGGCGUGUGACUGCGUACCUUUUGUAUAAUGGGUCAGCGACUUAUAUUCUGUAGCAAGGUUAACCGAAUAGGGGAGCCGAAGGGAAACCGAGUCUUAACUGGGCGUUAAGUUGCAGGGUAUAGACCCGAAACCCGGUGAUCUAGCCAUGGGCAGGUUGAAGGUUGGGUAACACUAACUGGAGGACCGAACCGACUAAUGUUGAAAAAUUAGCGGAUGACUUGUGGCUGGGGGUGAAAGGCCAAUCAAACCGGGAGAUAGCUGGUUCUCCCCGAAAGCUAUUUAGGUAGCGCCUCGUGAAUUCAUCUCCGGGGGUAGAGCACUGUUUCGGCAAGGGGGUCAUCCCGACUUACCAACCCGAUGCAAACUGCGAAUACCGGAGAAUGUUAUCACGGGAGACACACGGCGGGUGCUAACGUCCGUCGUGAAGAGGGAAACAACCCAGACCGCCAGCUAAGGUCCCAAAGUCAUGGUUAAGUGGGAAACGAUGUGGGAAGGCCCAGACAGCCAGGAUGUUGGCUUAGAAGCAGCCAUCAUUUAAAGAAAGCGUAAUAGCUCACUGGUCGAGUCGGCCUGCGCGGAAGAUGUAACGGGGCUAAACCAUGCACCGAAGCUGCGGCAGCGACACUAUGUGUUGUUGGGUAGGGGAGCGUUCUGUAAGCCUGU
RNAcentral lists this ribosomal RNA (1210 nucleotides) under Escherichia coli. RNAcentral's name for it is "partial 23S ribosomal RNA". It matches the Rfam family "Bacterial large subunit ribosomal RNA", at positions 1 to 1252 of the family's 2925-position model. The record is from RNAcentral. Lineage: Bacteria; Pseudomonadati; Pseudomonadota; Gammaproteobacteria; Enterobacterales; Enterobacteriaceae.